This 366-nucleotide long non-coding RNA is filed under the name Anas platyrhynchos platyrhynchos (common mallard). RNAcentral describes it as "lncRNA (ENSAPLG00000027199.1)". The record is from RNAcentral. Lineage: Eukaryota; Metazoa; Chordata; Aves; Anseriformes; Anatidae.
GGACUCAAGCCCUACAAUGUGAACACCUGAUUUUCAGCUGUGCCUGAUUUCCAUCUUCCAGAAGCCCUUGGAGACAAAAAGGCAAGACAACAGAGAUCACUUUUCUGUACUGAUGUGUAUUCAUUUUCCUCUCUGCAAGAAUCUGGCUUCAGCCCAUCAUAGCUGGCAGUGAUACACAAGAUGAGUUGACAGGAAGGGCAGAAGGCACAACAGAUGAAAGAGGUUAAAAGAAAGAGGAGAAAUUCCACAAAUUUUGGUUCCAAGAAACAAAGAUUUUAUUGGGUCUAAUCGGUGUUCCUUUUGUUGUCAGUUGGAUUUUGCCAAGGAUUUUGGUGGACUGAAAAUAUCUUGUGCUGUAUUUUUUGU